GCCCUCUUAGCUCAGUGGUAGAGCGCAUCACUAGUAUAUGUUAGUGAUGAUGAGGUCACUGGUUCGAUUCCAGUAGUGGGCA
Molecule: non-coding RNA, 82 nt
Organism: Hypoxylon sp. NC0597
Lineage: Eukaryota; Fungi; Ascomycota; Sordariomycetes; Xylariales; Hypoxylaceae
Source: the annotation of a GenBank genome assembly